Molecule: non-coding RNA, 96 nt
Organism: Tephrocybe sp. NHM501043
Lineage: Eukaryota; Fungi; Basidiomycota; Agaricomycetes; Agaricales; Lyophyllaceae
Source: the annotation of a GenBank genome assembly
GGUGAGAUGGCCCAGCGGUCUCAUGCGCCGGACUAGGGCGCCACAGUAGUAUAUUUGGCAUCUUGGGGGCGGGAGUUCGAAUCUCCCACCCCAUCA